RNAcentral lists this ribosomal RNA (215 nucleotides) under uncultured bacterium. RNAcentral describes it as "partial 16S ribosomal RNA". It matches the Rfam family "Bacterial small subunit ribosomal RNA", at positions 1286 to 1500 of the family's 1533-position model. The record is from RNAcentral.
UCUCAGUUCAGAUUGCAGGCUGCAACUCGCCUGCAUGAAGUUGGAAUUGCUAGUAAUCGCGAAUCAGAAUGUCGCGGUGAAUACGUUCCCGGGCCUUGUACACACCGCCCGUCACACCAUGAGAGUCGAUAACACCCGAAGCCUGUGAGCUAACCGUAAGGAGGCAGCAGUCGAAGGUGGGGUUGAUGAUUGGGGUGAAGUCGUAACAAGGUAAC